UGAUAGUCCCGUACACCAAAAUGCACAGGCUGUGAACUCGAAGAGUAGGGCGGGACACGUGGUAUCCUGUCUGAAUAUGGGGGGACCAUCCUCCAAGGCUAAAUACUCCUGACUGACCGAUAGUGAACCAGUACCGUGAGGGAAAGGCGAAAAGAACCCCGGCGAGGGGAGUGAAAAAGAACCUGAAACCGUGUACGUACAAGCAGUGGGAGCACCUUCGGGUGUGACUGCGUACCUUUUGUAUAAUGGGUCAGCGACUUAUAUUCUGUAGCAAGGUUAACCGUAUAGGGGAGCCGCAGGGAAACCGAGUCUUAACUGGGCGUUAAGUUGCAGGGUAUAGACCCGAAACCCGGUGAUCUAGCCAUGGGCAGGUUGAAGGUUGGGUAACACUAACUGGAGGACCGAACCGACUAAUGUUGAAAAAUUAGCGGAUGACUUGUGGCUGGGGGUGAAAGGCCAAUCAAACCGGGAGAUAGCUGGUUCUCCCCGAAAGCUAUUUAGGUAGCGCCUCGUGAAUUCAUCUUCGGGGGUAGAGCACUGUUUCGGCUAGGGGGUCAUCCCGACUUACCAACCCGAUGCAAACUACGAAUACCGAAGAAUGUUAUCACGGGAGACACACGGCGGGUGCUAACGUCCGUCGUGAAGAGGGAAACAACCCAGACCGCCAGCUAAGGUCCCAAAGUCAUGGUUAAGUGGGAAACGAUGUGGGAAGGCACAGACAGCCAGGAUGUUGGCUUAGAAGCAGCCAUCAUUUAAAGAAAGCGUAAUAGCUCACUGGUCGAGUCGGCCUGCGCGGAAGAUGUAACGGGGCUAAACCAUGCACCGAAGCUGCGGCAGCGACACUAUGUGUUGUUGGGUAGGGGAGCG
Molecule: ribosomal RNA, 867 nt
Filed under: Klebsiella pneumoniae
Lineage: Bacteria; Pseudomonadati; Pseudomonadota; Gammaproteobacteria; Enterobacterales; Enterobacteriaceae
Also listed under: 1 other name
Description: partial 23S ribosomal RNA
Rfam family: Bacterial large subunit ribosomal RNA
Source: RNAcentral